AUUGAACGCUGGCGGCAGGCCUAACACAUGCAAGUCGAGCGGAUGAAGGGAGCUUGCUCCUGGAUUCAGCGGCGGACGGGUGAGUAAUUCCUAGGAAUCUGCCUGGUAGUGGGGGAUAACGUCCGGAAACGGGCGCUAAUACCGCAUACGUCCUGAGGGAGAAAGUGGGGGAUCUUCGGACCUCACGCUAUCAGAUGAGCCUAGGUCGGAUUAGCUAGUUGGUGGGGUAAAGGCCUACCAAGGCGACGAUCCGUAACUGGUCUGAGAGGAUGAUCAGUCACACCGGAACUGAGACACGGUCCAGACUCCUACGGGAGGCAGCAGUGGGGAAUAUUGGACAAUGGGCGAAAGCCUGAUCCAGCCAUGCCGCGUGUGUGAAGAAGGUCUUCGGAUUGUAAAGCACUUUAAGUUGGGAGGAAGGGCAGUAAGUUAAUACCUUGCUGUUUUGACGUUACCAACAGAAUAAGCACCGGCUAACUUCGUG
RNAcentral lists this ribosomal RNA (484 nucleotides) under uncultured bacterium. RNAcentral's name for it is "partial 16S ribosomal RNA". It matches the Rfam family "Bacterial small subunit ribosomal RNA", at positions 30 to 507 of the family's 1533-position model. The record is from RNAcentral.